AACGCUAGCUACAGGCUUAACACAUGCAAGUCGAGGGGAAACGAUAGAGAAAGCUUGCUUUUUCUAGGUGUCGACCGGCGCACGGGUGAGUAACGCGUAUCCAACCUGCCCAUCACUUGGGGAUAACCUUGCGAAAGUAAGACUAAUACCCAAUGAUAUCUCUAGAAGACAUCUGAAGGAGAUUAAAGAUUCAUCGGUGAUGGAUGGGGAUGCGUCUGAUUAGCUUGUUGGCGGGGUAACGGCCCACCAAGGCAACGAUCAGUAGGGGUUCUGAGAGGAAGGUCCCCCACAUUGGAACUGAGACACGGUCCAAACUCCUACGGGAGGCAGCAGUGAGGAAUAUUGGUCAAUGGGCGAGAGCCUGAACCAGCCAAGUAGCGUGCAGGAAGACGGCCCUAUGGGUUGUAAACUGCUUUUAUAAGGGAAUAAAGUGAGUCUCGUGAGACUUUUUGCAUGUACCUUAUGAAUAAGGACCGGCUAAUUCCGUGCCAGCAGCCGCGGUAAUACGGAAGGUCCGGGCGUUAUCCGGAUUUAUUGGGUUUAAAGGGAGCGUAGGCCGGAGAUUAAGCGUGUUGUGAAAUGUAGACGCUCAACGUCUGCACUGCAGCGCGAACUGGUUUCCUUGAGUACGCACAAAGUGGGCGGAAUUCGUGGUGUAGCGGUGAAAUGCUUAGAUAUCACGAAGAACUCCGAUUG
RNAcentral lists this ribosomal RNA (696 nucleotides) under uncultured bacterium. Its description in RNAcentral is "bacterial SSU rRNA". It matches the Rfam family "Bacterial small subunit ribosomal RNA", at positions 32 to 715 of the family's 1533-position model. The record is from RNAcentral.